Molecule: long non-coding RNA, 1396 nt
Organism: Nicrophorus vespilloides
Lineage: Eukaryota; Metazoa; Arthropoda; Insecta; Coleoptera; Silphidae
Exons: 4
Source: RefSeq, a predicted model, not a curated record
AUGGAUAUUCUAUUAAUUGGAUUAAGGUUAAAUGCAAGGAAGAAUGAAGCUAUGAUCCAUAAUCUCUUAAAUCAUAUAAGAAGUAUUCAUGAAAAAGUACAGAAAUCACAUGGAUGUGUAUUCUACUAUUUGGAUUAAGGUUAAAUGGAAGAAAGCUAUAAUCCACUAUCUCUUGAAAAAUUAUGGAAAAAGAUUUCAUGAAAACCUACAGAAAUCACAUGGAUGUGUAUUCUACUAUCUGGAUUAAGGUUAAAUGGAAGAUAGCUAUAAUCCACUAUUUCUUGAAAAAUGAUGGAAAAAGAUUUCAUGAAACCUACAGAAAUCACAUGGAUGUGUAUUCUACUAUUUGGAUUAAGAUUAAAUGGAAGAAAGCUAUAAUCCACUAUCUCUUGAAGAAGUUUUCAUGAAAAACUACAUAACUCAUUUGCUAAACUAUAAUGGUAUUAAAUCAGCACCAUAUUCAUUCAACUAUAUAACAGGUCUAUCUCUGAAAAUAUCCUUAGACUACUUGUUUAAAUUAUAAGGAUAAUGAUGGAUGGGAUUGGAUAUUGAUAAACUCAAGUCUAUUGAAAAAUCUUCUUUAUAUUAUAAUGAUGGACAAUAAUACUUAUGUUGUGCGCGACGAAUGCAUCCAACAACGUUUAUGUUCACUUGCACACCAAGAUGCUAGGAAUGUGUAUAGCUACUCUAUGAUGACAAUUUUAUUGGAGAAACGUGAGAAUUCAAAGAAUUUCAUCCUGCCAUGACUUUGUUUAUGAAUAUGAAGAUUUUUUCUUGUUGUUGUGUUUGAUCUCAUGCAAAAUCGCAUCAGUUAUUUGCGAUGCAAGCAACGAAGACCAUCGGCCUAUUAAUGUUGUUUACCAAUUGUCAAAAGCUUACGUCACUCGCAUUGUAUUAUAUAAUAGUUGAUACGGUGCUAUUAUGUGCUAUUCAUUCAUACUUAGAACUAGUUCACUUCAUGAUUUUUUUAUGUUGAAGUACAAGAAUCAAAACUAUACAUAAUAUCAAUUAUAAUUUUAAUUAUAAUUACUGAAUAAUAUUUGUCGGAGUAUCUAAUACAAAGCAGCGAUGUUGUUUUCACCCUGGAGCGUGUAAGCAAUGGUUCUGCCAAAUAACACUGUCAGCACUUGGGAGAACAAGGAUGGACAUGUUUGCAUGAUCGGGGCAACACAUCUUCGGGCAUUUCAGGGAAAGAGGGUAUUUCCUUGGAGAAGACCCCACAUUAACACAACUUCUCCAAGACUUUAAAAAAACAGUCCUACGCAACCCCUCAGUGAUGUAAAACAUUCUUCCUACGCUUUUUCGUGCAGUGAAGUGUUAUUUGUUUAAGUGCAUAUAUAUUUUUGUCCUCGCUCAGUUCAUUUAUUUCAUUUCACUGUACUCUGUUACUAAUAUU